Non-coding RNA from Vicugna pacos (alpaca), 2930 nucleotides. The record is from RefSeq and is a predicted model, not a curated record. NCBI's taxonomy places the organism in Eukaryota, Metazoa, Chordata, Mammalia, Artiodactyla, Camelidae.
CCAAAUGUGAAGUCCUUUCCAGGGCUUGUAAUACUCUGCAUAACUUUACCCAUAGCUACCUCUUUCACUCAUUUUCUUCCUUUUUCUCUUUCUUUCCAGGAUCUAGAAGAGUGCCUGGUGGACACCAGAUACAUGUUAUUAAGUUAGGAAAAUGAAUUAAUUCCUUCAUAUAUUUUCAUUUGUCUCCUCAAGUGAGGAAAAGAAGUCAGCAUAGUUUACAUCAAGGAGAUCUCCUGACUCUAAAAUGUCAGAUCCAGAUGGAGUCUGGGGAGCUGCUCCAGGGGUUCAGGACAUCCCCCUGCUUUAUGCAUGGGCAAUUAUUAGGAAAACUUGAUACCACCUAAGACCUGUGAUUCAGCCCAUCAGGUUCUGGACAUCACCUUGGGCAUUUAUAGCCUGGGUUCCUGUGCUAGGAGCUGGGCCUGGGCCUCCUAAUUGCCUGAAUUAUCUUCCAUUUUUGCAUCUGGGACAAAGUCAAGUCCACAGGCAAGCCUGAUCUGAGGGUAUCCUCAAAUACGGAACUGCACAGCAAGUAUAGGAAGAAAAAUUCUAAGGUAACCACUGUCUUUCUGGCCAGAAGAGGGGAUGAGGACCUUCUGUCAGCUGUCACCAGGGGUAGAGGGGAAGAUCAGCACUUUUUCUUGUUUUCCUCUUCUGGCCCUGCCUCAAGAGCCCAGCCACAGAUCUGCGAAGUAGUAGUGGUAGCAGGCCUACAACCUCAAGAGAAACCCCCCUUUCCCCUCUCUCUGACCAGAAAAACUGAGAAAAUGGUACCAUGACAUCCAAAGGAAUGGUGUUCAGGACAGGGACCUCAGUUUUUUCUUUUUUCUGUCACUGUUUUGCCCCAGCAAGAUCGUUCACACAGAAAUAAGCAAUAGAGCAGGUGGUUAAAACUCUGAGCUCUCUCUUUCUAUUCAGUGGAUAGGUAAAAGGGUCCCUGGAAACGGUUGAGUACGUGAGAAAUCCUGUAGAGAAGAUAGCCGGGAAAGAGGGUUCCCUGACUCUGUGUAUGAAGUGACACAAGUUCCAGAUUCAUCCUUGAAAUGCACAUUCAUGGAACAGACCCAAAGCAUAGUAUCAGAGGCUGUGAGAACUUAACUCUAAUAUACACUGAAACCCUAGUCUCACAAUGACCCCUCAGAAGUGUGUGUAUGAGAUAGACCCAAGGCAGCAGAACAAACACUUAAAAAAUUGAACUUACAUUAGAAAUACAGCUUGAAGAAGUUGAAACAGAACCUGUGGUCUGAAACUAACUAGACUGAUGGCAAAACACAAUAAAACAAAUUGUGCUUUCUCCAAAGGUUUUAACAGGACUCAAGAGUUUCAUGAAAUAACACACAAAAUGAGUAUGGUACAGUCUAAAAGUAUUCAACAUACAGAGGACCAGGAAAAUAUGAACAAUUCUUAAAGGAAAAAAAAAUCAACAAAUAAAAACUGCAACAUGACCUAUAUGUUGGGAUUAUCAGAUUUUAAAGCAACUCCAUGUUCCAAAAGUAAUGCUAAAUUCCUUUGAAAUUAAUAAAAAAUUAAUAUUAGUGUUAGAAAUUAUAAAAAUACUAGAAGUGAAAAAGGUAAACAUCUGGAAUAUUAAAAAAAUCACUAGACAGACACUAUAGCAGAAUGGAGAUGGCAGAGGAAAGAUUCAAAGAACUUGAAGACAUAAACAGAAAUUAUACAUUUGUAGAAAAAAGAAAAAAAUAUUGAACAAAAUAUAACUCAGGGACCCAUGAGAUGACAAACUUGAAAGGCUUAAUUCAUAAUAUUUUAAAAUAUUUUUAAAUUUUUUUCUCUCCUUUUAGGAAUCCAAUGACCCAAAAGCUAGACUUUUUUGAUACUGUAUUUUGAUUUUGAUUUUACAAUUAGUUUCAUGAAUCCACAGAGCCUUAAAUAUUUUAUAAAUAUAAAAGUUCAUUUUAAGACUAUUUCCAUGUCUCCAUAAUUUAAGAAAUCCAACUGAUUCAUUUUCAUGAAGAGAAUCCGAAAUCCUCUUGUGUCACAAGCAUUAAAAAAAAAUAAAAACAAUUUAGUUUCUGGCAGUGGCAUGUUAGAUAUUCAGAAAAAAAAAAAAACCCUAGGAGUUCUGGAUAAAAUAAAACAAAGAUUCUUUUAAAUACAUUGUUAAUCUUGUAUUGAAUAGGGAAUACUCCAGGGAUUGAAAAAAAGUUUCUUAAAAUCAAGAUGCUUUGUUAACUAUGCUGAAUGAAUCUGCCCAUCUUGAUCAUAAUAAAGAUUCAGUAUUCACAUUCAAUUAUUAAGUGUUAGUUACUAAUCCAAGAACAGCAGUAAAAACCUUGGGCAGCAUGAACUAGAGAACUGAAUCUGAAAUAACUGCUUACAGUUGAAAUAACUGCUCUCAAAUAAUGAGAGGCUAGAGUAGGAAAAAAAAGAUAUACAAAGAUAAGUGUUGUUUUCUUUCUUUUUUGUUUUUUUCUGUCUCAAACUGAGCUCUGGCUGGGAAAAGAUAAUGUCUCUUAAAAAUUAUAACCGCAGGCUUGCCCUCACAUAUAGUUAGAUGUCUAAAUUUAUACUACUUAUAUUAUUAUGGAAACCUCAAGCUGGUAAGUGAAGCUAACAACUGGAUCUCUUACAGCAACUUUCCUGUGCUACCUGGCAGGAAAAAAAAAUCUUAUCUUGAGAAGCUUACCUUCAAUUUUUGCAUUAUGAUACUGUGAUAUAUGAAGGUCCACUAAGCUUUAGUAGUCAAUUCAAAAUACAAAAUCACAAAAUAUGAGGAAAUAUUUUGGGGACUGUCAGCAUAAACUAAAGAGAGCAAUGCAGAUGACAAGACAUUUAUAAAAUAAAGCAAAUGAAGCAUCAGAUUUAAAAAGCAUACCACACCCUAGCUUGAUUCUAACAAAUGAACUUAACACCACAGUGUUCUGAUCCUACAGAACACUGAAGACAAAGCAAAGAUCUUAAAAGAAACAAGA